Molecule: ribosomal RNA, 460 nt
Filed under: uncultured bacterium
Lineage: Bacteria
Description: partial 16S ribosomal RNA
Rfam family: Bacterial small subunit ribosomal RNA
Source: RNAcentral
CCUACGGGAGGUUGCAGUGAGGAAUAUUGGUCAAUGGCCGAGAGGCUGAACCAGCCAAGUCGCGUGAGGGAAGACGGCCCUACGGGUUGUAAACCUCUUUUGUCGGGGAGCAAAGCGAGUCACGUGUGACUCAUUUAGAGUAUCCGAAGAAAAAGCAUCGGCUAACUCCGUGCCAGCAGCCGCGGUAAUACGGAGGAUGCGAGCGUUAUCCGGAUUUAUUGGGUUUAAAGGGAGCGUAGAUGGGUUGUUAAGUCAGUUGUGAAAGUUUGCGGCUCAACCGUAAAAUUGCAAUUGAUACUGGCAGCCUUGAGUACAGUUGAGGUAGGCGGAAUUCGUGGUGUAGCGGUGAAAUGCUUAGAUAUCACGAAGAACUCCGAUUGCGAAGGCAGCUUACUAAACUGCCACUGACAUUGAUGCUCGAAAGUGUGGGUAUCAAACAGGAUUAGAUACCCGAGUAGUC